RNAcentral lists this long non-coding RNA (909 nucleotides) under Homo sapiens (human). RNAcentral's name for it is "long non-coding RNA NONHSAT118569". The record is from RNAcentral. Lineage: Eukaryota; Metazoa; Chordata; Mammalia; Primates; Hominidae.
ACUGAUGGUUAGAUGUUCAGGGGCACCCCAUCCACCAGGCGAGCUCAAAGCAAAUGUCCUUCUGGAGUGAGUGCAUGGGUCCAGGAAGGCCAGGCGUGUCGUUGUGUAGGGCCAUGAGUCCACGAGGAAAUGAGGUGCCAGUCCCCCUGCUCCUCACAGGGAUGGACCAGGACUCACUUCCGACCAGUUAAUUAAUGGACUUGAGACUUGUGACCCACCUGAGGACCAAGUCCUCGCAGGACACUGGGUAGAAUGGUAAAGACAAGCAGUGGCAUGACCUCUAAUGCCAGAGUAAGAACGUGUGCCCCAUGCCCACCCAGGUCGCUAGGCCUUUACUGCAGCCGAGGCACUGCCUCUGUCUGGUCUUGGGUGCUGAGAGGCCGGGACCUGCUGCGGCCUGUUGGAUGCAGCUCAUGCUCCCUCCCGAGUCCGUGGCAGAGAGCAGUAGGGGCUCAGGGCAGCAGAAGGCCCAGGGAGAGGAGGGGGUCCUCCCUGUCCAGGUGAGAGCCUUUGACCAUACCAAGAGCCGGGGUGCCCAGUUGUCCUUCAGCACUGGGCCUUCCAGCAGGCCAAGGGAGACAGUAUCAGAACCUCAUCAUAGGCUGUUUAAGGCUUAAGUGAGGUUGACAGGUGAAAUGCUGAGAACAGUGGCCCCUUGCAAGCGUUUUAUGGAGGUAGUGUAUUCUCUGUGUGGAUGCAGGUGGGGAGAAGUGGAAGGAAGGACGCACGAGAGCCAGCCUGCGACACCUAAGGACAGAAACACCUCCCUCAGCCCAGCCGGCUGCUGACUCCAUGCGAAGAGGGACACCAACCCUUACAAUCUCACAGUGUCCUGCCCCUGCCCCUGCCCCUGUGAGGGCGAUGCUCCUUCCAUCAAAACCAGAGUGUCCCAGCUCUAGAUUCCCCACC